Molecule: long non-coding RNA, 222 nt
Organism: Pan troglodytes (chimpanzee)
Lineage: Eukaryota; Metazoa; Chordata; Mammalia; Primates; Hominidae
Exons: 3
Source: RefSeq, a predicted model, not a curated record
UGCUGGGAUUACAGGCAUGAGUGACUAUGCUGGCACAAGCUUACGGCAAUUUGAGACUAAGGCUUAGAGUCCAUUUAAUAAAGUGAUCUAGACUCAUGUAGUUCAUCAGAACAUAGGAGAAAGGAAAAGUCAUUUCAACUCCAGAAGGUGACCUGGAUCCUAUCUAGCACCUCAGGUCUGCCCAUGAAGUGGGCUGGCAUCAUUCUCCAGGGAUUCAUCAGG